RNAcentral lists this small RNA (30 nucleotides) under Bombyx mori (domestic silkworm). Its description in RNAcentral is "ovarian small RNA-34019". The record is from RNAcentral. Lineage: Eukaryota; Metazoa; Arthropoda; Insecta; Lepidoptera; Bombycidae.
UGCGUUAAAUCGCAUGAUCUUUAUGCCCGA